Molecule: ribosomal RNA, 849 nt
Filed under: uncultured bacterium
Lineage: Bacteria
Description: bacterial SSU rRNA
Rfam family: Bacterial small subunit ribosomal RNA
Source: RNAcentral
UAGCAAUACUAGGUGGCGACCGGCGCACGGGUGAGUAACGCGUAUGCAACCUACCUAUAACUGGAGAAUAGCCCCCGGAAACGGGGAUUAAUGUUCCAUAAUGUUCAGAGACUGCAUAGUUUUUGGACUAAAGCUCAGGCGGUUAUAGAUGGGCAUGCGUGCCAUUAGCUAGUUGGUGAGGUAACGGCUCACCAAGGCUACGAUGGUUAGGGGGUCUUAAAGGAUGAUCCCCCACACUGGUACUGAGACACGGACCAGACUCCUACGGGAGGCAGCGGUGAGGAAUAUUGGUCAAUGGGCGCAAGCCUGAACCAGCCAAGCCGCGUGAAGGAUGACGGCCCUAUGGGUUGUAAACUUCUUUUUUACGGGAAGAACCCUCCGACGUGUCGGAGACUGACAGUACCGUACGAAUAAGCAUCGGCUAACUCCGUGCCAGCAGCCGCGGUAAUACGGAGGAUGCAAGCGUUAUCCGGAUUCAUUAGGUAUAAAGGGUGCAUAGGCGGAUUUGUAAGUCAGUGGUGAAAUACUAUAGCUUAACUAUAGAACUGCCAUUGAUACUGCAAGUCUUGAGUACAAUUGAGGUAGGCGGAAUGUGUGGUGUAGCGGUGAAAUGCUUAGAUAUCACACAGAACACCGAUUGCGAAGGCAGCUUACUAAACUGUAACUGACGCUGAUGCACGAGAGCAUGGGGAGCAAACAGGAUUAGAUACCCUGGUAGUCCAUGCCGUAAACGAUGAUCACUCGCUGUAUGUCCAUUAGGAUAUGUGGCUGAGCUAACGCAUUAAGUGAUCCACCUGGGGAGUACGGCGGCAACGCUGAAACUCAAAGGAAUUGACGGGGGCCCGCACA